GGAGAGGUGGUCGAGUGGUUUAAGGCUCUGGUCUUGAAAACCAGCGAGGCUAAUCACCUCCGUGGGUUCGAAUCCCACCCUCUCCGCCA
RNAcentral lists this transfer RNA (89 nucleotides) under Acidaminococcaceae bacterium. RNAcentral's name for it is "tRNA-Ser". It matches the Rfam family "tRNA". Rfam says of the family: Transfer RNA (tRNA) molecules are approximately 80 nucleotides in length. Their secondary structure includes four short double-helical elements and three loops (D, anti-codon, and T loops). Further hydrogen bonds mediate the characteristic L-shaped molecular structure. tRNAs have two regions of fundamental functional importance: the anti-codon, which is responsible for specific mRNA codon recognition, and the 3' end, to which the tRNAs corresponding amino acid is attached (by aminoacyl-tRNA synthetases). tRNAs cope with the degeneracy of the genetic code in two manners: having more than one tRNA (with a specific anti-codon) for a particular amino acid; and 'wobble' base-pairing, i.e. permitting non-standard base-pairing at the 3rd anti-codon position. Lineage: Bacteria; Bacillati; Bacillota; Negativicutes; Acidaminococcales; Acidaminococcaceae. The record is from RNAcentral. RNAcentral also lists the same sequence under 2 other names.